GGAGGGGUACCGAAGUGGUCAUAACGGCACCGACUCGAAAUCGGAUGGUCGCGUAAGCGGCACGCGGGUUCGAAUCCUGCCCCCUCCG
RNAcentral lists this transfer RNA (88 nucleotides) under Candidatus Dojkabacteria bacterium. RNAcentral's name for it is "tRNA-Ser". It matches the Rfam family "tRNA". Rfam says of the family: Transfer RNA (tRNA) molecules are approximately 80 nucleotides in length. Their secondary structure includes four short double-helical elements and three loops (D, anti-codon, and T loops). Further hydrogen bonds mediate the characteristic L-shaped molecular structure. tRNAs have two regions of fundamental functional importance: the anti-codon, which is responsible for specific mRNA codon recognition, and the 3' end, to which the tRNAs corresponding amino acid is attached (by aminoacyl-tRNA synthetases). tRNAs cope with the degeneracy of the genetic code in two manners: having more than one tRNA (with a specific anti-codon) for a particular amino acid; and 'wobble' base-pairing, i.e. permitting non-standard base-pairing at the 3rd anti-codon position. The record is from RNAcentral.